Molecule: ribosomal RNA, 148 nt
Filed under: uncultured bacterium
Lineage: Bacteria
Description: partial 16S ribosomal RNA
Rfam family: Bacterial small subunit ribosomal RNA
Source: RNAcentral
GCAUCAGCCACGGCGCGGUGAAUACGUUCCCGGGCCUUGUACACACCGCCCGUCAAGCCAUGGAAGCCGGGAGUGCCUGAAGUGCGUGAGCGCAAGCAGCGCCCUAAGGUAAAAACCGGUGACUGGGGCUAAGUCGUAACAAGGUAUC